RNAcentral lists this ribosomal RNA (253 nucleotides) under uncultured bacterium. Its description in RNAcentral is "partial 16S ribosomal RNA". It matches the Rfam family "Bacterial small subunit ribosomal RNA", at positions 524 to 776 of the family's 1533-position model. The record is from RNAcentral.
GACAGAGGGUGCAAACGUUGUUCGGAAUCACUGGGCGUAAAGCGCGUGUAGGCGGCCAUGCAAGUCGGAUGUGAAAGCCCUCGGCUCAACCGGGGAAGUGCACUCGAAACUGCAAGGCUAGAGUCUCGGAGAGGAUCGUGGAAUUCUCGGUGUAGAGGUGAAAUUCGUAGAUAUCGAGAGGAACACCGGUGGCGAAGGCGGCGAUCUGGACGAUGACUGACGCUGAGACGCGAAAGCGUGGGGAGCAAACAGG